UAAAAGUAGGACAAAGUCGGAAGCUUUAAGUUAUAGUCAUGCCAGGUUGUGGAGUUCUUCCUUGGACUGUCAACUCUUCUUUGUGUGGAAUUAUGUUUUACAAGUUUUUGGAACAACAGAAGAACCCAAUACAGACCUUUAUUAGCCUUUUUUGCUAGGUAUGGGCCAUAGACAGUCUAUGGUAUGAACGCUAGCUAAUGAAGUAGCAUAUUAAGCUAUACGCAUAGCCUGUAUGGAAUGAAUGGGCAGUUGACCACCGCUUACCGAACAAAGCUUACCGAGUGGAGUGAAAACCAGAUAUCGCUCUGAACUGCCAGGUUCCUUUCGCCACUUUGAAGGUGUAGGACAGGACAGGGAGUUUCUGGUGCCACGAGGUUUCCAUGAAAGCCCGGACGUCACCUCCAUGGUCACAAGCUGACAGAUGACUGUAACAUGAUCGACUGGUGUGCGCUGAUACAAGCUAUUUUUAGGCGAAGGUCACAUCUGGAGCAGGCCAGCUCAAAGCUUUUCUCUCCAUUUUUCUUUGAUUCCUUCAAAGUCCCAAAACUGGACGAACACUCCUUGUUUCUAGAUAAAAAUUGAGCUGCACAGUGCUUGGUGGUUAGCACUGUCUCUGCACAGCUCGAAAAUACCUCGGUUCGCGACCUGGGCCUGGGAUCUUUCUGUGUGUAGUUUGAACGUUCUCCCUCGACAG
Molecule: long non-coding RNA, 694 nt
Organism: Amphiprion ocellaris (clown anemonefish)
Lineage: Eukaryota; Metazoa; Chordata; Actinopteri; Pomacentridae
Source: Ensembl